CUUAUGCAGGUUUAUCAGAUUGUGUCAGAAACUUGCCUUAAACUCAGUGCCUCAGUUUUGCAGAGGUUUGUGGCUAAUCUGAAGUGGAGGGGCUCAGAUGGCCUAGUAUACAGGAGGAGACUCAGGUUCAGAUCUGUCGUUGCCUGCUCUCAUCCCCUCUCAAGGCACCAAAAGGACAAAAUAAACCUCAUAAGUCCAGAACAAAGACUCUGAUUCCUCCUCUGUGGUUAAUGGGAACAAUCACCUGGCUCUAACCGUGACUAACCUGCUCACAAAUCCACCUGAAAGAGGCUGACGUUUUGUCUAAUCCUCACCUUGUUUGAAACCCAGGAGAGCGUCUCCCCGGGGAUCUACGGUGACUAACCGCCAGCCCGGCAGGGGCCAAAAACCCGCCAGUGUGGACCUUUUCAGCGCGUUAAAGAGCAGACACGAGGCCGAGGUGAGGGAGCAGGAGCGAGCGAGGAGGAGCACAGAUAACGCUGCGGCUGUCACACUCCUGAAGGGGUCGAUAAUGGAGGCCGAGGGCACUGGAGAGACGUCGGCCGUGUCCAUUUGUCCGUCCCCUGGAGGGCAGAGCUGGAUCCGAGUCAAAGUUUUAGAUCGCUGCCACUGAGAUGGCAUUAACUCCCCGUCUCCUGGGCCGCCAGCGUGAAUCAUUUAUUAACAGAAACCUGCGACGGACGUUUCAAAUGUCAGAUCACGUUAGGAGCAAGUCCCCAGAUCAUUCCAGGCAACAAAAAAAGGUAGCUGGGUGGCACUUUGUCAGGACGAGUGCUUACCUCAUGCUGCAAAAAAAAAAAAGUCACAGCUGUGCUGCUCUGCUAAGGUGCACGAAAGAGGGCUGCUUCUGCAUUCAAGAUAGCUGUAGGAGCAAAUCUGUGUCUGUUAGAACACACAGAUCAUAAAUAGUAAAGCAAUGUUUGUUGGCUUUGAAGAUGAUCUGAAGUGGGGUUGGUUAAGACGUAUAAAUAAAUUUACAAAGGAGAUAAAGAGGAA
Long non-coding RNA from Cheilinus undulatus (humphead wrasse), 996 nucleotides. RefSeq lists it as uncharacterized. The transcript is spliced from 4 exons. Lineage: Eukaryota; Metazoa; Chordata; Actinopteri; Labriformes; Labridae. The record is from RefSeq and is a predicted model, not a curated record.